RNAcentral lists this unclassified non-coding RNA (305 nucleotides) under plant metagenome. RNAcentral describes it as "partial contains 5.8S ribosomal RNA, internal transcribed spacer 2, and large subunit ribosomal RNA". The stretch from base 1 to 105 matches the Rfam family "5.8S ribosomal RNA", at positions 50 to 154 of the family's 154-position model. The record is from RNAcentral.
GAAAUGCGAUAAGUAAUGUGAAUUGCAGAAUUCAGUGAAUCAUCGAAUCUUUGAACGCACAUUGCGCCCCUUGGUAUUCCGAGGGGCAUGCCUGUUCGAGCGUCAUUACACCACUCAAGCUAUGCUUGGUAUUGGGUGCCGUCCUUAGUUGGGCGCGCCUUAAAGACCUCGGCGAGGCCUCACCGGCUUUAGGCGUAGUAGAAUUUAUUCGAACGUCUGUCAAAGGAGAGGACUUCUGCCGACUGAAACCUUUUAUUUUUCUAGGUUGACCUCGGAUCAGGUAGGGAUAUCCGCUGAACUUAAGC